RNAcentral lists this ribosomal RNA (608 nucleotides) under Arthrobacter sp. JMT1913. RNAcentral describes it as "bacterial SSU rRNA". It matches the Rfam family "Bacterial small subunit ribosomal RNA", at positions 48 to 668 of the family's 1533-position model. The record is from RNAcentral. Lineage: Bacteria; Bacillati; Actinomycetota; Actinomycetes; Micrococcales; Micrococcaceae.
UUAACACAUGCAAGUCGAACGAUGAUCCGGUGCUUGCGCCGGGGAUUAGUGGCGAACGGGUGAGUAACACGUGAGUAACCUGCCCUUAACUCUGGGAUAAGCCUGGGAAACUGGGUCUAAUACCGGAUAUGACUCCUCAUCGCAUGGUGGGGGGUGGAAAGCUUUAUUGUGGUUUUGGAUGGACUCGCGGCCUAUCAGCUUGUUGGUGAGGUAAUGGCUCACCAAGGCGACGACGGGUAGCCGGCCUGAGAGGGUGACCGGCCACACUGGGACUGAGACACGGCCCAGACUCCUACGGGAGGCAGCAGUGGGGAAUAUUGCACAAUGGGCGCAAGCCUGAUGCAGCGACGCCGCGUGAGGGAUGACGGCCUUCGGGUUGUAAACCUCUUUCAGUAGGGAAGAAGCGAAAGUGACGGUACCUGCAGAAGAAGCGCCGGCUAACUACGUGCCAGCAGCCGCGGUAAUACGUAGGGCGCAAGCGUUAUCCGGAAUUAUUGGGCGUAAAGAGCUCGUAGGCGGUUUGUCGCGUCUGCGUGAAAGUCCGGGGCUCAACUCCGGAUCUGCGGUGGGUACCGGCAGACUAGANUGAUGUAGGGGAGACUGGAAUU